CGGGUGGUAAUGCCGGAUGCUCCGACUCCUCGCAUGGGGUGUCGGGAAAGAUUUCAUCGGUAUGGGAUGGGGUCGCGUCCUAUCAGGUAGUCGGCGGGGUAACGGCCCACCGAGCCUACGACGGGUAGCCGGCCUGAGAGGGCGACCGGCCACAUUGGGACUGAGAUACGGCCCAGACUCCUACGGGAGGCAGCAGUGGGGAAUAUUGCACAAUGGGCGCAAGCCUGAUGCAGCGACGCCGCGUGCGGGAUGACGGCCUUCGGGUUGUAAACCGCUUUUGAUCGGGAGCAAGCCUUCGGGUGAGUGUACCUUUCGAAUAAGCACCGGCUAACUACGUGCCAGCAGCCGCGGUAAUACGUAGGGUGCAAGCGUUAUCCGGAAUUAUUGGGCGUAAAGGGCUCGUAGGCGGUUCGUCGCGUCCGGUGUGAAAGUCCAUCGCUUAACGGUGGAUCUGCGCCGGGUACGGGCGGGCUGGAGUGCGGUAGGGGAGACUGGAAUUCCCGGUGUAACGGUGGAAUGUGUAGAUAUCGAAAAAAAACACCACC
RNAcentral lists this ribosomal RNA (545 nucleotides) under Bifidobacterium pseudocatenulatum. RNAcentral describes it as "bacterial SSU rRNA". It matches the Rfam family "Bacterial small subunit ribosomal RNA", at positions 157 to 713 of the family's 1533-position model. Lineage: Bacteria; Bacillati; Actinomycetota; Actinomycetes; Bifidobacteriales; Bifidobacteriaceae. The record is from RNAcentral.